GUCAUUGUAGUAUAGUGGUGAGUAUUCCCGCCUGUCACACGGGUGACCCGAGUUCAAUGCCCGGCAAUGGCG
RNAcentral lists this transfer RNA (72 nucleotides) under Eucalyptus grandis. It matches the Rfam family "tRNA". Rfam says of the family: Transfer RNA (tRNA) molecules are approximately 80 nucleotides in length. Their secondary structure includes four short double-helical elements and three loops (D, anti-codon, and T loops). The record is from Rfam by way of RNAcentral. Lineage: Eukaryota; Viridiplantae; Streptophyta; Magnoliopsida; Myrtales; Myrtaceae.